This is a long non-coding RNA of Chrysemys picta bellii (western painted turtle), 1361 nucleotides long. RefSeq lists it as uncharacterized. NCBI's taxonomy places the organism in Eukaryota, Metazoa, Chordata, Testudines, Emydidae. The record is from RefSeq and is a predicted model, not a curated record.
AACGCCGGCCGGUCGGUGGGAUAUAAGCUGCCUUUGCACUAUAAGGGAAUCCUAGAACUGGAAGGGGCCUCGAGAGAUCAUCUAGUCCAGUUCCCUGCUUUCAGUCCUGCCACGAGAACCUCUACACCGGCUCCGGGGCCACCAUAGCCAUCCCAGGCGCGAGCGCUGACCCGAAGGCCUUGUGGCGUUACACCCGCGCAGAGAUCACGCCGCGCUUUCGCUGGGUCCGGCUCCAUCUGAAGUGGCCCAACACGUGAGGGGCCUAGACAUGAAAUCUCUCUCUCCCCCGGGGAAAGCUGCGCUGGCCGAUCGCUGGCUUUCGAACAGGGAGGCGAGUCUUUUCCCCCGGCUCCAGAAACCAAGCAGGAGUUCCCACCCAACACAACAGACCUGUUUGUCUUCGGCUUGCCAACAAAUCGGCCAGCGUGCAAAAGAUUUGCCAAGCGCAGAAUCCAAAGGCAAUUCACGAGGAGCCUGUGGAAUCGAUGGCAAACGAGUGCCACCAUUUCUGGUUUCAGUCCUUCUGACGGCGGGGGCUCUUUGCCAACUUUGGAUCGGGGGGGGGGGUUGUUUUGUCUUAAACAAAGUUUGGAUCCUCUUGUAAAAGUGACGGAUUUUAAAGAUAGAACCAGUGACUCCUUUUUAAUGAGGAUUUGAAGUUAAAAACAAAAAACCCUCCACGGUGGCUUCCAGGGCAAGAAAAGGGCACGUGGAGGGUGAAACAGACGGGCCAGUUUUGGGCUAUUUAAAGAAGACAGUUGCAUUUUUCUACCUCCCCUUCCUUAAAACAAACAAACAAACAAAAAAGGUGGAUUUUAAAGCAAUCUUGAGGCGGGGAGGGGGGGAGAGGGAUGAGGGAAGCAAAAAGAAGCAAAGGAGAACAGAAGGUGCUUAUGCAAAUACUUCAUUGGAACAAAGGGACACGGACACCCCCCUGCACCCCCCACGCCUGUAAUAAAAGGUUGGGGAUUUUCAAACAGGAGGGAAUGGGGGUGGGGAAGGGUGGAUGGGUAAGAGAGAGACCAAGAGAGCUCUCUGCAGUCCCUUCCGUUCUGGGGAACCCACAGAGAUCUGCUCCCUCCAGGCACAAGGCCGGUUUUCAGCGGUUGGGUUGAGUUGGCGGGGGCCAGCUGGCCUGGGUGCUACCCAGGAGGGUGGACAAGAUGACCCGCUUCCAGCCUUCAGUUCUAUCCUUUGUCUCCCCCGUUGGCAUUAACCGCCUCCCUGUUCUAAAGGCCAUGUGUGUGCAUUUCCAGCAUGGGGAGCGGGCUGGAUUCAGAAGUUGGGGAUUAUUUUCCAAGCCGGGCUUGGGAAACUCGGACAUGAUUUGGAGCCGGAAAAAAUAAAUUUCUGAAAAUAAA